UCNCCAGGGCCUUGGCUACUCUCGCAAUC
This 29-nucleotide non-coding RNA is filed under the name Mus musculus (house mouse). Lineage: Eukaryota; Metazoa; Chordata; Mammalia; Rodentia; Muridae. The record is from RNAcentral.